This 423-nucleotide ribosomal RNA is filed under the name uncultured bacterium. Its description in RNAcentral is "partial 16S ribosomal RNA". It matches the Rfam family "Bacterial small subunit ribosomal RNA", at positions 359 to 774 of the family's 1533-position model. The record is from RNAcentral.
GAAUUUUGGACAAUGGGCGAAAGCCUGAUCCAGCCAUGCCGCGUGCAGGAUGAAGGCCUUCGGGUGGUCAACUGCUAUUGUACGGAACGAAAAGCUUUGGGUCAAUACCUUGUAGUCAUGAAGGUCACACAAGAAUAAGCACCGGCCAACUACGUGCAACCUGCCGGUGUCAUACGUAGGGUGCAAGCGUUAAUCGGCAGUACGGGGCGUAAAGCGUGCGCAGGCAGUGUUGUAAGACAGAGGUGAAAUCCCCGGGCUCCACCUGGGAACUGCCUUUGUGACUGCAAAGCAAGAGUACGGCAGAGGGGGGGGGAAGUCCGAGUGGAGCAGUGUAAUGCGUAGAUAUGAGGAGGAACACCGAUGGCGAAGGAAACCCCCUGGGCCUGUACUGACGCUCAUGCACGAAAGCGUGGGGAGCAAACA